AGAGUUUGAUCCUGGCUCAGAACGAACGCUGGCGGCGCGUCUUAAGCAUGCAAGUCGAACGGCAAGGCAGGUGCUUGCACCUGCCCUAGAGUGGCGGACUGGUGAGUAACACGUGGGUGACAUGCCUUUUAGUUGGGGAUAGCUACUAGAAAUAGUAGAUAAUACCGAAUGUGAUCAAUAUUUAUAGAUGAUGUUGAGGAAAGGAGCUAAGGCUUCGCUAAAAGAUUGGCCCGCGGCCCAUUAGCUAGUGGGUAGGGUAAAGGCUUACCAAGGCGAUGAUGGGUAUCCGGCCUGAGAGGGUGAUCGGACACAUUGGGACUGAGAUACGGCCCAGACUCCUACGGGAGGCAGCAGCUAAGAAUAUUCCACAAUGGACGAAAGUCUGAUGGAGCGACGCCGCGUGGAUGAUGAAGGCCGAAAGGUUGUAAAAUCCUUUUACACUGGAGGAAUAAGCAGAGUAGGGAAUGACUCUGUGAUGACUGUACAGUUUGAAUAAGCAACGGCUAAUUACGUGCCAGCAGCCGCGGUAACACGUAAGUUGCGAGCGUUGUUCGGAAUUAUUGGGCGUAAAGGGCAUGUAGGCGGAUUUGCAAGCUUGAUGUGAAAUCCCGCAGCUUAACUGCGGAACUGCAUUGGGAACUGCAAGACUAGAGUUACUGAGGGGAAACUAGAAUUCCAAGUGUAGGGGUGAAAUCUGUAGAUAUUUGGAAGAAUACCAAUGGCGAAGGCAAGUUUCUGGCAGAUAACUGACGCUGAGGUGCGAAGGUGCGGGGAGCAAACAGGAUUAGAUACCCUGGUAGUCCGCACAGUA
RNAcentral lists this ribosomal RNA (811 nucleotides) under uncultured bacterium. RNAcentral describes it as "bacterial SSU rRNA". It matches the Rfam family "Bacterial small subunit ribosomal RNA", at positions 8 to 804 of the family's 1533-position model. The record is from RNAcentral.